Cuculus canorus (common cuckoo) is the source of this 2377-nucleotide long non-coding RNA. RefSeq lists it as uncharacterized. The record is from RefSeq and is a predicted model, not a curated record. Lineage: Eukaryota; Metazoa; Chordata; Aves; Cuculiformes; Cuculidae. The transcript has 6 exons.
AGAACUGUAUCGAGAGGGAAGGGAUGCUGCCAUCUUUGAUACCAAAUCUCCUUACCGGAGCUGGUGUGCACUAGCGUUGUUCUUCAUGUUGUGAGAAACACCUAGUCACUGAUAAAAUAUUGAAAAAUACAAAGUUUUUGAAGCAAAGACAAUAAUAUCUUUGUUUUACAAUUCAGCACUGAAUUGGAUGCCUUUCUAAAUAAGGCAUCCCACCUUACAAAAGCAGUAGGUGUAUAGGUACUAGUUUCAGACAAAGGACCAUGCAAGUCCUCAAAUAAUGGGAGUUUUUUUAGGUUAUCCAACCAUGUCUAGAGACUUCCUUCGGGUUCUCUCUUGACCUACGACAACUACCUCUUACAAGACAAUUAAGCAUACCAAUAAAUUCUUGCAACUCUAAGGGAGUGUCUAUUCUUUCAGGUUAUUCAUCCGUGUCUGGAGAUUGUCUGCAUAUUAUCUCUUGAUACAAGAUAGAUUUAUAUGACAAGAUAAUUAAACGUACAAACCAGCUGCAGCAAAACUUAUCGAUUCAUUCUCACAAUGUUAAAAACACAAUUCAUAGAAUCGUAGAAGCACGGAAUCAUGGAAUGGUUUGGAUUGGAAAGGACCUUAAAGAUCAUGUAGUUCCAACCCUCCUGCCAUGGGCAGGGACAUCCCACUGGAUCAGGCUGCCCAAGGCCCCAUCCAACCUGGCCUUGAACACCUCCAGGGAUGGGGCACCACAGCUUCCCUGGGCAACCUGUGCCAGUGCCUCACCACUCUCAGGGGGAAGAAAUUCUUCCUUAUGUCUAGUCCAAAUCUGCCCCCUGUAGCAUGGCUACAAGCCUUUGUGAACAAACAGUAAGAUCCUGCACGGCACAGGUUUCUCCAACAUUCCUACGGCAGAAACAGCAUCCCUUUUUUAACUCCUGUGAUCUCUGCGUUAUCUCCGCUCCCCCCACCAGUGCUGGCCCUCAGGAACAGUAGAGCCCUUCCACCAGCUGGAGCUGCCGAGCAGCCCCCGGAGCGCCCCGCCGGGAUGGGGGCGGGAUCGCGCCGUCACGGGAAGUGAUGCCAGAGCGGAGCAGGCGCGGCGGGCGAUGGCGCGGCGGGCGCUGCGGGCGCUGUUGCUGCUGGAGGCGGCGGGGGUGCUCGGCGCCCUCCUGCUCUACCGCGCCAUGGACCGCAGCCGAGAUUUCAGAUAUACAAUGCAGAAGAGGUUUCCAUCAAUUCUGGAAGUGUAUUACAAAUCCAAUGAGUGGUCUGGAAUUCAUGGCAUAAAGGAGAAUGACCAAAUGGCAUGGUUAAGCAGCAAGAACUGAAGUAAGAAAGAUGUCCCUCUGUGCUUGAACUGUUUCUUCCUUUUGAUGAUGCUUUUCACAUCCCUAUUAUGAAGCCACUUGUCACGCUCUAUUUCCCACUGGAUCUGUUUGACAUCUGUAAGAGGAAAGAGUAAGCUACUUCUUAAGAUUUCGAACAGAAAUUUCACAGCCAAAGAACCACCAAAACACAGAAGGCAAAUGUGAUCAGGUACAACAGCAAAACUGUACAGCACUUUGUAUGGAAGACUUUAAAUGUGUGAUCUCAGUUUCAGUCAUCUUCAACGUAACAAUACUGUUAACUUUUCAGACAGGGGCAUGUUUUUAACCUGCUUUUCUUUAAUCUCAAAACUAGUACCAGCAUUUUAUGUAAGUAAUCAAUAUUAUAAUAUCAAAUAAUUAAAAUUAAUGAGUUGCAUUAACCUGACACUUGAAAAAAAUUUAAAGGCUCCUACAGCAGUGAAUACACUAAAGAAAUAAAACCCCAAAGUUAAUUAGACAAAAUAAACUCUGAUCUUGUAAGUUACGAGACAUUCACAGGUAACCAAUAUUUUGAUUUACUGAAAACAAAUCUUUGCCAAAUGUGUACCAAUUCAAUUUUAGUGUUAGAGGUGCAUUUUUAUAUCAUAAUCUGAAAGGAAAGCCAACUAAAUGGAAAGAACUAUGAAUAAUAAAAAAACUAGCUCCUCUGACUUUUUUUGCAUUGUUCCAUUCUAACAACUCAUAAUAUUAGCAAGGUAUAUUCCAGGGUGUUUUUUUUUAAAAAUACUCCUAAUGCCCAAGAACUACAAUCCACAAAACAUUUGUUACCUAUUGUUUAAGGCCUCUCUACCACAGCAUCAACUUACUUGAUUAUAGACUACAGUACUAAUUGCCUUUGUUUGUAAGUGAUAUUCUUUCUUAAGCACUUUAGACAAAUGUUAAAAUUAUGUUUCAAGGGAAGUACUAUCACCACAUGUCCAUGUGACAAUACUCAACUGUAUCAAAUUAAUCAAAUUUAGCAAACACUUGGAAUAGCAGAGAAUAUUGUGAAAUGUAAUGAGUUUUGAUGGCAUUGCAUUAAAAAACAACACUUAAAAUGA